CUCUAGUUUCAUUCUUUUCCAUAGUUAUUCAUGGAGUUUUUUUUUUUGAAUUAUUUGGUGAUGUAUCUCAUACCUUGUAUAUGGUUAAUUUUCAGCUAAGGCUGUGCAAGCAGAAUGGAGGAGGUGACCUUGCAGAAAUUGGGGUUUCAAGGAAAGACGUCACAUCAAGCAGUUGUAAAACUUGAAGCUGGACUGAGAGGAAAAACAGUUGUGUGGUGUGCCUGGAGACUCUACUUGUCUAUUGUUAUCGUGGUGCUUUCGAUCUAUUCUGUAUAGUCUUAGGAUAUACUGUAUGGUGUGAUAUCAUUAGGGAUUGUUUGUGCUG
Telopea speciosissima is the source of this 325-nucleotide long non-coding RNA. RefSeq lists it as uncharacterized. The record is from RefSeq and is a predicted model, not a curated record. NCBI's taxonomy places the organism in Eukaryota, Viridiplantae, Streptophyta, Magnoliopsida, Proteales, Proteaceae. The transcript has 2 exons.